RNAcentral lists this ribosomal RNA (465 nucleotides) under uncultured Stenotrophomonas sp. RNAcentral's name for it is "bacterial SSU rRNA". It matches the Rfam family "Bacterial small subunit ribosomal RNA", at positions 338 to 795 of the family's 1533-position model. The record is from RNAcentral. Lineage: Bacteria; Pseudomonadati; Pseudomonadota; Gammaproteobacteria; Lysobacterales; Lysobacteraceae.
CCUACGGGAGGCAGCAGUGGGGAAUAUUGGACAAUGGGCGCAAGCCUGAUCCAGCCAUACCGCGUGGGUGAAGAAGGCCUUCGGGUUGUAAAGCCCUUUUGUUGGGCAAGAAAUCCAGCUGGCUAAUACCCGGCUGGGAUGACGGUACCCAAAGAAUAAGCACAGGCUAACUUCGUGCCAGCAGCCGCCGGAAUACGAAAGGUGCCAGCGUUACUCGGGAUUACUGGGCGUAAAGCGGGCGUAGGUGGUCGUGUAACGCCGUGGUGAAAGCCCUGUGGUGAACCUAGGAACUGCAGUGGAGACUGGGCGACUAGAGUGUGGUAGAGGAGAGCGGAAUUCCAGGUGUAGCAGUGAAAUGCGUAGAGAUCAGGAGGAAUAGCCAUGGCGAAGGCAGCUACCUGGACCAACACUGACACUGAGGCACGAAAGCGUGGGGAGCAAACAGGAUUAGAUACCCUAGUAGUC